This 62-nucleotide transfer RNA is filed under the name Glyptotermes sp. Its description in RNAcentral is "tRNA-Ala". It matches the Rfam family "tRNA". Rfam says of the family: Transfer RNA (tRNA) molecules are approximately 80 nucleotides in length. Their secondary structure includes four short double-helical elements and three loops (D, anti-codon, and T loops). The record is from RNAcentral. Lineage: Eukaryota; Metazoa; Arthropoda; Insecta; Blattodea; Kalotermitidae.
AGGGCUGUAGUUAAUUAUAACAUUUGAUUUGCACUCAAAAAGUACUAGAUAAGUCUGCCUUA